This 442-nucleotide long non-coding RNA is filed under the name Mytilus galloprovincialis (Mediterranean mussel). The record is from RNAcentral. Lineage: Eukaryota; Metazoa; Mollusca; Bivalvia; Mytilida; Mytilidae.
GUACACACUUCUUUUUUUUUUUUAUCUUUUAUUUGUUUUUCAAUAGUCAGGAUUUUACACACCCCAUUACACUACCACCUGACAAUGGUAUCAAGGGGUAAAUACAGAAUAUAUAAGAAAAAAAUAUAGCAAUAUAUACAAAAAGAAUCUCUGACUAAUUAAUUUUUAACAAUAAAAAUAUUUUAGGUUACAUAUAAAUUGUAUUUGAUUUUUCUCUCCUCUCUCUCUCUCUCUGACUUACUCACAUACAACACUAAUACUUUCACUCAUCUGUUUUGCUACAAUAUGUAUCAUGACUUACUUUUUAAUACAAUUUUUUUUAAAGAAAUAAAUUUGCUCAUAAUUUAUAAAUUAUUUCUUUUCUCUAAACUAAACAUAGAUAAUAUGAAAACAACACUUAGUUAAAUAUUACAUGUAAAGGAGACCAAAAUUUUUCACAAAC